RNAcentral lists this ribosomal RNA (461 nucleotides) under uncultured bacterium. RNAcentral's name for it is "bacterial SSU rRNA". It matches the Rfam family "Bacterial small subunit ribosomal RNA", at positions 340 to 786 of the family's 1533-position model. The record is from RNAcentral.
UACGGGAGGCAGCAGUGGGGAAUAUUGCACAAUGGGCGAAAGCCUGAUGCAGCUAUGCCGCGUGUAUGAAGAAGGCCUUAGGGUUGUAAAGUACUUUCAUCGGGGAGGAAAAAACAAAACUAAUAAUUUUAUUUCUUGACGUUACCCGAAAAAGAAGCACCGGCUAACUCCGUGCCAGCAGCCGCGGUAAUACGGAGGGUGCUAGCGUUAAUCAGAAUUACUGGGCGUAAAGAAGCACGUAGGUGGUUUUUUUAAGUCAGAUGUGAAAUCCCUGGGCUUAACCUAGGAACUGCAUUUUGAAACUGAAAUACUAGAGUAUCGUAGAGGGAGGUAGAAUUCUAGGUGUAGCGGUGAAAUGCGUAGAUAUCUGGAGGAAUACCUGUGGCGAAAGCGGCCUCCUAAACGAAUACUGACACUGAGGGUGCGAAAAGCGUGGGGGAGCAAAACAGGGAUUAGAUACC